ACAUGCAGUCGAGCGGACCGACGGGAGCUUGCUCCCUUAGGUCAGCGGCGGACGGGUGAGUAACACGUGGGUAACCUGCCUGUAAGACUGGGAUAACUCCGGGAAACCGGGGCUAAUACCGGAUGCUUGAUUGAACCGCAUGGUUCAAUCAUAAAAGGUGGCUUUUAGCUACCACUUGCAGAUGGACCCGCGGCGCAUUAGCUAGUUGGUGAGGUAACGGCUCACCAAGGCGACGAUGCGUAGCCGACCUGAGAGGGUGAUCGGCCACACUGGGACUGAGACACGGCCCAGACUCCUACGGGAGGCAGCAGUAGGGAAUCUUCCGCAAUGGACGAAAGUCUGACGGAGCAACGCCGCGUGAGUGAUGAAGGUUUUCGGAUCGUAAAACUCUGUUGUUAGGGAAGAACAAGUACCGUUCGAAUAGGGCGGUACCUUGACGGUACCUAACCAGAAAGCCACGGCUAACUACGUGCCAGCAGCCGCGGUAAUACGUAGGUGGCAAGCGUUGUCCGGAAUUAUUGGGCGUAAAGCGCGCGCAGGCGGUUUCUUAAGUCUGAUGUGAAAGCCCCCGGCUCAACCGGGGAGGGUCAUUGGAAACUGGGGAACUUGAGUGCAGAAGAGGAGAGUGGAAUUCCACGUGUAGCGGUGAAAUGCGUAGAGAUGUGGAGGAACACCAGUGGCGAAGGCGACUCUCUGGUCUGUAACUGACGCUGAGGCGCGAAAGCGUGGGGAGCGAACAGGAUUAGAUACCCUGGUAGUCCACGCCGUAAACGAUGAGUGCUAAGUGUUAGAGGGUUUCCGCCCUUUAGUGCUGCAGCAAACGCAUUAAGCACUCCGCCUGGGGAGUACGGUCGCAAGACUGAAACUCAAAGGAAUUGACGGGGGCCCGCACAAGCGGUGGAGCAUGUGGUUUAAUUCGAAGCAACGCGAAGAACCUUACCAGGUCUUGACAUCCUCUGACAACCCUAGAGAUAGGGCUUCCCCUUCGGGGCAGAGUGACAGGUGGUGCAUGGUUGUCGUCAGCUCGUGUCGUGA
RNAcentral lists this ribosomal RNA (1035 nucleotides) under Bacillus sp. (in: firmicutes). RNAcentral describes it as "bacterial SSU rRNA". It matches the Rfam family "Bacterial small subunit ribosomal RNA", at positions 53 to 1070 of the family's 1533-position model. Lineage: Bacteria; Bacillati; Bacillota; Bacilli; Caryophanales; Bacillaceae. The record is from RNAcentral.